Molecule: long non-coding RNA, 93 nt
Filed under: Mus pahari (shrew mouse)
Lineage: Eukaryota; Metazoa; Chordata; Mammalia; Rodentia; Muridae
Description: sRNA (MGP_PahariEiJ_G0008390.1)
Rfam family: FTX transcript, XIST regulator conserved region 2
Source: RNAcentral
UUGAGAAGUACCGUCCUCUACUCUUUUGAGGUCACUCACUCAUAGGAGCUGGCAAACGCUAAACCGUUUUUCAAACAUAUCUUCCCUAAAGCC